Molecule: RNA transcript, 1866 nt
Organism: Thrips palmi
Lineage: Eukaryota; Metazoa; Arthropoda; Insecta; Thysanoptera; Thripidae
Gene name: RNA-binding protein 4.1-like
Exons: 6
Source: RefSeq, a predicted model, not a curated record
CCUCGCCGUGAGCGCUGCCAGCCAGACGGCCGUCUUGAGAACUUGGUUGGUUCGUUUUGGAUCCGAGCGAGCAAAGCGACGCCAUUUCAAGGGUCGAUUUAAUCAACGAAGACAAGACUUUGAAAACCGAGUCGCUGAUAAAUACAUCAUGGCUGAUAUCAAGACUUCAACAAAUCCUCCAAAGACCAAAAUCUUUGUGGGUCGCCUUCCCGAGAAUGCCCAGGCCCCAGACUUGCGUCGGUUGUUUGAGCAGUACGGCACUGUGACGGAAUGUGACAUUCUAAACAGAUAUGGAUUUGUCCACAUGAAGACAGAGGAACAGGCAACUCGUGCAAUUGAAAACCUGCACAACUGUAACUUUAUGGGCUCACUCAUUAGUGUUGAGGCAUCUACAGGCAAGAGAGGCGGCCGAGACGGACCCGGUGGACCUGGUCCAAGGCGAGGGGGUUUUGGAGGCCGAGGAGGACGUGGAGGCUUUGGUCCCAUGCGUGGUGGCAUGGGAUAUGGAAUGGGCCGUGCUGGUCCUUAUGAUAGGGCAGGACCUUACAGUCGCCCUGAUGGUUAUGGCCGCCCUGAUGCCUACGGCCGUCCUGAGCCCUAUGGUCGUCCUGACUUUGACCGAAGGCCUGUUGGGCCUGGACCUGCUGGACCGGGACCAGUGCCUGCUGGACCAGGCCCCGUACCCCCAGCAGGAGCCCCCAUGGGUGCCAUGAGGAAUGGUUACUAUGAUGACCGCAGGGAUGCUGCAUACAUGGACCGGUCAGGUGCUGACUACAUGGACCGAAGAGACCGAGGCGAUGCUGCCUAUGGAAUGGGUAUGGCUCGCAUGGACAACUAUGACAGAGGAUAUGGUGACUAUGCUGCACGUGCAGUUCCUCUGCCAAACAGUGACAUGUAUGGUGCUGGAGCAUAUAGAGAAGCUGACCGCAGUGCUUAUGCUGACAUGAGACAGCCUUAUGAGCGACGAGACAUGGUGCCUCGUGAAAUGCCAGCUGCUCGUGAUGCCUAUGAUCGCACAGCCAUGGCUGCUCAAAACUUUGACAGACGUGACUAUGGCGCCGCCCGAAUGGCUGGAGCUUCAGAUAUGUUUAGCCGCAGAACCCCACCUCCCCAGCCUGCCUACAGCACAGGUUAACAAUCAAGACCUGUUCCCUUGAGGAAAACGCCAUGUGACCACAUGGACAUCCCUGGCUCUAGAUUUCCAAUGCUACCCUGAUAUGCAGCCGCGACGAUACUAAGCGUCUCGAUGAUUGCGUGCGACGCUGGCAAGGCUGGCAAGAUUGUCUGCCUGGCAGGCGUAGGUGCGAGAAUCGGGAAUCGAGAAUCGGCACUCACCGUGGACAGCGAAUCUUGUGCCAGGAUAUCUUUCUUUGUUUAUUUCGAAUGUAAGGUGUUUUCUUAGAUAUGCUUUAUUUAUAUUGAAGACAUUUGCAUUUAGUUCGUGAACUUGCGAUUGGAGAAACUGGCGCAGCUAUGUCAUACCUUGGGUGAACUGCGAAUCCCUCUCUGCGAUUUAUAAAUGCGUCUAUAAACAAUUGCGUUAGCAUGAAUAUUGAUUGUCCCCUAUGUAAAGUUUAUCAACAGUUCAAUCAUAUGAUGUAUUAUUUUUUUAUUGACUUGACAAGAGAAUUUGGCUACAAAGAAUUUCCUUCAAUUAAAGUUUAGGGUUAGUAAACAAAACUGCAUUCAGCAAUCCGUGUGCAUUGCUUAGCAGAAAUGAACUUUGCUUUCUUUGCGAUCCGUCUCACUAAUCAUUUUGUAUCCCAGCAUCAUUAGUUUUUGCGUAGGCUGUCUUCCACGCAUUGUAUGUAAAGCUUGUUUUUCUUGUAAUUCGUUAGAGCCGUAUAAUAAACAAUUCUUUUGUAA